This is a long non-coding RNA of Protopterus annectens (West African lungfish), 1030 nucleotides long. RefSeq lists it as uncharacterized. The record is from RefSeq and is a predicted model, not a curated record. The transcript has 3 exons. Lineage: Eukaryota; Metazoa; Chordata; Ceratodontiformes; Protopteridae.
CCUGUGCUCCAGACUGUCUCUGCACCAAAUAUCUGCUAUCUUCCCAUCUGGAUACCACUGUACAAUAGGGAAAAUAAAGGAAAACCUCUAACAGCUCCCAAAGUGACUAUUAGCUCUGAAAGACAGUGAAAUACUUAACCUGUGCUCCAGACUGUCUCUGCACCAAAUAUCUGCUAUCUUCCCAUCUGGAUACCACUGUACAAUAGGGAAAAUAAAGGAAAACCUCUAACAGCUCCCAAAGUGACUAUUAGCUCUGAAAGACAGUGAAAUACUUAACCUGUGCUCCAGACUGUCUCUGCACCAAAUAUCUGCUAUCUUCCCAUCUGGAUACCACUGUACAAUAGGGAAAAUAAAGGAAAACCUCUAACAGCUCCCAAAGUGACUAUUAGCUCUGAAAGACAGUGAAAUACUUAACCUGUGCUCCAGACUGUCUCUGCACCAAAUAUCUGCUAUCUUCCCAUCUGGAUACCACUGUACAAUAGGGAAAAUAAAGGAAAACCUCUAACAGCUCCCAAAGUGACUAUUAGCUCUGAAAGACAGUGAAAUACUUAACCUGUGCUCCAGACUGUCUCUGCACCAAAUAUCUGCUAUCUUCCCAUCUGGAUACCACUGUACAAUAGGGAAAAUAAAGGAAAACCUCUAACAGCUCCCAAAGUGACUAUUAGCUCUGAAAGACAGUGAAAUACUUAACCUGUGCUCCAGACUGUCUCUGCACCAAAUAUCUGCUAUCUUCCCAUCUGGAUACCACUGUACAAUAGGGAAAAUAAAGGAAAACCUCUAACAGCUCCCAAAGUGACUAUUAGCUCUGAAAGACAGUGAAAUACUUAACCUGUGCUCCAGACUGUCUCUGCACCAAAUAUCUGCUAUCUUCCCAUCUGGAUACCACUGUACAAUAGGGAAAAUAAAGGAAAACCUCUAACAGCUCCCAAAGUGACUAUUAGCUCUGAAAGACAGUGAAAUACUUAACCUGUGCUCCAGACUGUCUCUGCACCAAAUAUCUGCUAUCUUCCCAUCUGGAUACCACUGUACA